This 122-nucleotide ribosomal RNA is filed under the name Halorientalis regularis. Lineage: Archaea; Methanobacteriati; Methanobacteriota; Halobacteria; Halobacteriales; Haloarculaceae. The record is from RNAcentral.
UAAGGCGGCCACAGCGGCGGGGGUACACCCGUACCCAUCCCGAACACGGAAGUUAAGCCCGCCAGCGUUCCGGGGCCUACUUGAGUGCGCGAGCCUCUGGGAGACCCGGUUCGCCGCCUCCA